Lemur catta (Ring-tailed lemur) is the source of this 959-nucleotide RNA transcript. It is a transcript of the gene named 40S ribosomal protein SA-like, with no coding region annotated. The transcript has a single exon. NCBI's taxonomy places the organism in Eukaryota, Metazoa, Chordata, Mammalia, Primates, Lemuridae. The record is from RefSeq and is a predicted model, not a curated record.
GGAAACUUUCCCAAUGUCCAGAGCCCUUGAGGUCCUGCAAAUGAAGGAGGAGGAUGUCCUCAAAUUCCUUGCAGCGGGAACCCACUUAGGUGGCACCAACCUCGACUUCCAAAUGGAACAGUCCAUCUACAAAGGAAAAGUGAUGGCAUCUACAUCAUAAAUCUGAGGAGGACCUGGGAGAAGCUUCUGCCGGCAGCUCGUGCCAUUGUUGCCAUUGAGAACCCUGCUGAUGUCAAUGUCAUAUCCUCCAGGAAUACUGGCCAGCGAGCUGUGCUGACGUUUGCCUUUGCCACUGGAGCCACUCUUACUGUUGGUCACUGCACUCCUGGAACCUUCACUAACCAGAUCCAGGCAGCAUUCCGGGGGCUGCGUCUUCUGGUGGUUACUGAUCCCAGGACUGACCUCCAGCCUCUCACAGAGGUGUCUUAUGUGAACCUGCCUACAGUUGCUCUGUGCAACACAGAUUCUCCUCUGCCUUAUGUGGACAUCACCAUCCCAUGAACAACAAGGGAGCUCACUCAGUGGGUCUGAUGUGGAUGCUGGGCUGGGAAGUUCUGUGCACGUGUGGUAGCAUCACCUGUAAACACCCGUGGGUGGUCAUGCCUAAUCUUUACUUCUAUAGAGAUCCUGAAGAGAGUGAAAAGGAAGAGCAGGCUGACGCUGAAAAAGCUAUGACCAAGGAGAAAUUUCAGGGCGAAUAGACAGCUUCAGCUCCUGAAUUUACUGCUACUCAACCAGAGGUUGCAGACUGGUCUAAAGGCGUGCAGGUGCCUUCUGUGCCUCUUCAACAGUUCUCUGCUCAAGACAAGCGCUCAGCCUGCCGUGGAAGACUGGUCUGCAGCUUCCACUGCUCAGGCCACUGAAUGAGUAGGAACAACCACUAAGUGGUCUUAAGCUGUUCUUCCACAGGCUUUUAAGGAGGAUGAAUAUAAGGUUAAUGGAAAAUAAACAUUAGUUUC